CGUCGACCUCAGCAAGCACAUCGGCUGUACCCAUGCCGAACACAGAAGUUAAGCCCUAGAACGCCGGAAGUAGUUGGGGGUUGCCCCCUGUGAGAUAGGGAAGUCGCUUAGCU
This 113-nucleotide ribosomal RNA is filed under the name Streptococcus pneumoniae. The record is from RNAcentral. Lineage: Bacteria; Bacillati; Bacillota; Bacilli; Lactobacillales; Streptococcaceae.